Long non-coding RNA from Girardinichthys multiradiatus, 2880 nucleotides. RefSeq lists it as uncharacterized. The transcript is spliced from 2 exons. The record is from RefSeq and is a predicted model, not a curated record. Lineage: Eukaryota; Metazoa; Chordata; Actinopteri; Cyprinodontiformes; Goodeidae.
GGUAAAAUAAAACGUUUGUCAGGAAUAUAUAUAUUAUAUAUAUCCACAUUCACAUACAAACAUCCUGGGGGCUGGAGCAAGUGGGUUCACGACCAAAAAUAACCUUUACUAUCUCAAAACAAUAGUGGUUCACGCAAAUACUAAUUUAUAAACCUUUAAGUGGAGAUCGUAUUUGUAUUAGGUGGAUAUUUACUUUGAACUGGAGACCCAGCAAGCAGUCCCAAAUCUUAGAGCUCUGUAGUUGUGCUCGACUUUGUGGUUACGUGGCAAGAACAAAAUUAUUACACAAGCUAGUAGUGAGGGAAAUGAUUUAUAUGAAGCUGAGACCAAAGUUAUUUAGGGGAGAACCAAAGUGAAGCAAAGAUGAAGUUAGGCCAUUAGUGAAAUUAAAAGGUGUUUGAUUAAGCUGGACUGACUCUUUGAAACAGCAAAGGUCAGACUAUGGAAGAGAGACAGAAUAGGAACAAAGUAGUGUGCAGAAAGGUUAAAGAAGACACCAUCAGGCAGGUAAUGGGAAUGUAAUUAAGCAAAGGAACAGGACAAGCUGAUGGGAUCAUUGCUCAGGAGGAUGUAAAAAACGGAAGAGGCAUGAUAAGGUUGUAAAAGGACAAAAAUCCCAUCAAGAUAUUCAGCUGUAUAGAGCUUGGCCCAGCUAUGAAGCAAGGAUUUAACUACACACAGAACAAAAGAGAUUGGUAAAAACUCUGAAUUCCAGAAUGCACAGUAUUAACCUAUUUUCAUAACAGCUCCAGUAGUCACAGCUGAAAUCCCCAUGAAGUCAUAGUGCUACAUAACUCUGCUCCCACCAACCUUUCUUGCUCUCUGCCCACAGCUCUCCACAGGUUGCUUUGGAGAGGACACACCCAGGAAGGUCUUGAUCUUGCAGUUUUCCUUUCACUGCCCUGAAGAAGAAGGCAUUUGAAACCACAGCUCCACAAGCCUGACACAUGUGCCAGUACGAGCAGGCGCUCACCCAAGUCUCUAGGCCGAGAGCAACCAUCAUGUCUUCUCUGGUCAUCGGACCUGCAGAACUCAAGGCUUAAACUGUGUCGGGCCAGAGCAAGCUGGAGUUGAGGCUAUAGUUUCUCAUGAGUUUUGGCCAGUGGGGAGAAUUAAUAAAAACCCAAGUGUGAGUUUCUUCUCCAGAAGAAUGCGUGCCUCCGUUGCGUGUUAACCGGUCUCGGUUUCCAGCUGGAAAAAGCAAGGGGGAGAGGCCUCAUAUUACUUAUAUCGUCCACUGUGACAUCAGAGCUGCGAAGCCCCUUCCUAUCAGCUGCAAUUCCUGCUGGGAGUUGUGGUAGCACACCAUACUGCGGUAUAUAGUAACAAACAAAUGGUCCAACACUGGUUAUCUUAGCACAUGCAAACUCCUGGUUUCUCUGUAAAGGUAAUAUUUUAAAAAUAAAUUAUUUGUUGUCAACAAAAAAACGCCAUCAUAUUUUGGCCAUCUGAGGUGCAUUCCACAUAUUCACACUGAAUUGUAAUAUCACUGCAUCAUUUUAUUGGUUAUUGGAGUUUCAUUUUUAUUCUUAAAUUAUAUGUUCCUUUUUAUUUUUUCUCCCAUAGUCUGUUAGUUUUCCUUAUUCUAUUUAUUUUUACUUAGUAGUUUAGUUAAAUGUCACUAGCCUAGGUAAAGAGUUUCUUGAAUUAAGUAUUUUAACUGAAAGUUGAGGGUUUUUGUUAAUAAAAUCUUUAUUUUAGAGAUACGUUGUGUUUAUUCUGUAUAUGUGUGGAGUGCUUUGCUUCUUGAAAACACCAGUGCUUUAAUUAACACUUUCAUCUAUACCUUAGCAGGCAGGUAUUCAUAGAACAAUAACUGACAGAGACUGAGAGCUAUUAUUAUUUCCAGUUAAUCAGGUGGUGCCCUGACUUGGCAAUCAGGAUGAUCAAUCCUCGCAGUGUUCCAUAAAUCAGCUUUUCACACCGAGGCCCAGCAGGGGUCCUUUCUCUUUAUCCACAGCCAAUGACUGCCCUUCUCGGCUGCCUCUGACAUAACUCUGAUGGUUUGGCUUUGACUCCCCACCUCCUAUAUUUUUCAGCAAUCUGAUGGUAGUCAUGGCUGAAAACCCUCUGCAGCCCACUUCCAAAAGGUGGACUUUAGUGUUCCAACCAGGCUGUUAAGCCUCUGCUGCAAGUUCGGUAUAGCACAGGUCUUUACAUUCAUAGGCUUUAUCCACGGAGUCCUCCCAGAUUAUUAGCGGCUUCUGGCAACUUUUGCCCCCUCCUGGACAAACAUUGUUUGCACAGGCUUCUAUUCUGUUUGUAAAAGAGACAAGUUGGUAGCAGCUUGCAUCUCUUCCAGAGUGAUGGCAAGGCUUUUGAGGACCUGGUUCUGGUGCAAGGUGUAAUGUCAUUGGGUAGAGCUGAACUUACACCCUGCCAUGAUGUGUUUGAGGGACACUGGCCUAGAAGAUAAGGGACAUGCCGAAUCUUCACCCAGUCACUGGUGAAGAUUUGUUGGUGUUGAAAGGAUGUCAUAUGUUGUUCUAUUGUAAAUUUAUUUUCAUUUUGUUUUUUUGUUUUUUUAAAUUGAGGAGACAGGAAAUAGGGUGGGAGGAAAUGCAGUAAACAUCAACAGGCCUGGACUCAAACCCACGACAGCCUGCGUCAAUGACUAAGGCCUCAAUACAUGGGUCACACGCUUAACCACUGCUUAACCACCAUGCAGACCGCCAAAGGUCGCCCUCUCGGUCAAUAGGACUGAGGCUGAGAUGUUGACGCUGCAUGUUUAGGGGGGAAAGACAAUACAGUGACCAAGGAAUGAAGAAAAGAAAGACUGAAAUAAAAAAAAGAAAUCUGUUGGUUAAAAAAAAUACAACUGGGAUAUAUUAGAGGAGAAAAUAUAUCCAUGCUUAAGAAAUAAAAUAAAAUAAAAUGUGA